GCAGCCAUUGUAAAUAAGUCCCAU
RNAcentral lists this non-coding RNA (24 nucleotides) under Arabidopsis thaliana (thale cress). Lineage: Eukaryota; Viridiplantae; Streptophyta; Magnoliopsida; Brassicales; Brassicaceae. The record is from RNAcentral.